Molecule: ribosomal RNA, 208 nt
Filed under: uncultured bacterium
Lineage: Bacteria
Description: partial 16S ribosomal RNA
Rfam family: Bacterial small subunit ribosomal RNA
Source: RNAcentral
UGCGUAGGCGGACACGUAAGUGCUUUGUGAAAUCCCACGGCUCAACCGUGGAAGUGCUUGGCAUACUGCGUGUCUUGAGAUCGGCAGGGGGCUGUCGGAACUGUAGGUGUAGCGGUGAAAUGCGUAGAUAUCUACAGGAACACCCAUGGCGAAGGCAGACAGCUGGGCCGAUUCUGACGCUGAGGCACGAAAGCGUGGGGAGCAAACA